CUCUCCGCCGGCGACCGGCGCACGGGUGAGUAACACGUAUGCAACCUGCCCCUGUCAGGGGGACAACCCGCCGAAAGGCGGGCUAAACCCGCGUACAUGCCACCGGGGCAUCCCGGAGGCAGGAAAGGCUUCGGCCGGACAGGGAUGGGCAUGCGGCGCAUUAGGCAGUAGGCGGGGUAACGGCCCACCUAACCGACGAUGCGUAGGGGUUCUGAGAGGAAGGUCCCCCACACUGGUACUGAGACACGGACCAGACUCCUACGGGAGGCAGCAG
This 274-nucleotide ribosomal RNA is filed under the name uncultured bacterium. RNAcentral describes it as "partial 16S ribosomal RNA". It matches the Rfam family "Bacterial small subunit ribosomal RNA", at positions 81 to 354 of the family's 1533-position model. The record is from RNAcentral.